This 326-nucleotide unclassified non-coding RNA is filed under the name soil metagenome. RNAcentral describes it as "partial contains 5.8S ribosomal RNA, internal transcribed spacer 2, and large subunit ribosomal RNA". The stretch from base 1 to 120 matches the Rfam family "5.8S ribosomal RNA", at positions 35 to 154 of the family's 154-position model. The record is from RNAcentral.
GAUGAAGAACGCAGCGAAAUGCGAUAAGUAAUGUGAAUUGCAGAAUUCAGUGAAUCAUCGAAUCUUUGAACGCACAUUGCGCCCCUUGGUAUUCCGAGGGGCAUGCCUGUUCGAGCGUCAUUAUAACCCUCAAGCUCAGCUUGGUGUUGGGGCCUGCUGCACUGGCAGCCCUUAAAAUCAGUGGCGGCGCCAUCUGGCUCUAAGCGUAGUAAUUCUUCUCGCUAUGGAGUCCUGGUGGAUGCUUGCCAUCAACCCCCAAUUUUUCUAUGGUUGACCUCGGAUCAGGUAGGGAUACCCGCUGAACUUAAGCAUAUCAAUACGGAGGA